Molecule: ribosomal RNA, 726 nt
Filed under: Nisia fuliginosa
Lineage: Eukaryota; Metazoa; Arthropoda; Insecta; Hemiptera; Meenoplidae
Description: 12S ribosomal RNA
Source: RNAcentral
AAAAUUGAGAAAAAUGUUGUGCCAGCAUUUGCGGUUAUACCUCAUCAGUAAAUAAUUUGAUUUUAAAAUUGAAGUUUAUAAAUUUUUAUAAUAUUAAAUUAAUUUUUAUAUUAUUUUUAUUAUUAGUAAAUUGAUUAAUUAGGGUGAAAUCUUGUUAAUUAUUAUAUUUUUUUUUCUUUAAAAUUUGGAGUAUAAACUAGGAUUAGAUACCCUAUUAUUCUAAUUAUAAAUAAAAUUUUAGGGUUUUUAUUAGUAAAUUUAAAAUUUUAAAAUAAAAUUUAUUUGGCGGUUUAUUAAUCAUUUCAGAGGAACCUGUUUUUUAAAUGAUAAUCCACGAUAAAUUUCACUAUUUUUAUUAAAAAAUUUCUUGUAUAUCUCUGUCGUUGAAUGUAGUGAAAGCUAAAAAAUUUUCUUUAAUUUUUAAAAUUUUAUGUUAGGUCAAGGUGCAGUUGUAAAAUAGAUUUUAAUGGGUUACAUUUAUUUUAUAUUUGUGGAUUUUAAGAAUUGUUUUUUAUCUUGAAAAUGGAUUUGAAAGUAAAUUAAAUUUAAUAAGUUUAUUUAUUAUAUUAUAUAUAUUAUAUUAUAUUAUUAUAAUUUAUAAUUUAUAAAUUAUUUUAUUAAGGGUUUUGAAUUAUGUUCUGAUUUAUGUACAUAUCGCCCGUCAUUCUUGCAAAGUAAGACAAGUCGUAACAAAGUAAGUGUAUCGGAAGAUGUAUUUAGAUGGGA